UUAGAAUCUGAGUCGCGUAAGCCACGACCUCUCCAUCUUGUGAACUCCUAUAGAAUUAAUCCCAUAACUCUGCCUGCUUUCCCAGAGGCCUGCUGGGACCAGGGACAACCAGACAGGCACCUAGCAGAACUGUCAUUAGAGAGGCUUCGUCCAGCAUCUGAUGGAACCUGAUGUUUAGACCCUCAGCCAAACAUUAAGGGGAGCUUGAAGAAUCCUGUGGAAGAGGAGAAGGAAGGCGCCAGAAGGGUCCAGGACAUCCCAGGAAAACCUAUAGAAUCAAUUAACCUAGGCUCCCAGGAACACUAAAAGACUGAACUGCCAACCAGAGAGCAUGCGUAGGAUAGACCUAGGGCCUCUGCAUAUAUGUACCAGUUCUGCAGCUAUGCAGUGGGCAGGAGCUGUCUCUGACUACACUGCCUGCCUUUGGAUCCGUUUCUCCUAACUGAGCUGCGUCAUCCAGCCUCAACAGAAGAUAAGCCUAAUCUUCCUGCAACUUGAUAUGCAAAGGCUGUUUGAUAUCCAUGGGAGUCCUCCCUUUUUCUGACCAAAAGGGGAGAAGGGUUCAGUGGAGUAGUGGGGAGAUGAGGGAAGGGAAGCUACAGUCAGAAUGUAAAGUAAAUAAAUAACAAUAAAAAAGUGGCUGCAUGGUAUUAUAAAAAAAAGAUGGUAGAAUGGGAAAAGAAGAGAGAAAUGCAUACUGUAUGAUACCAUUUCUAUAAGGCUAAAACCACAUCUAGGCAAAUUGUGUAUGCACACAUCAUACAAUAAAUAUAAAUAUAUUUGGGAA
This is a long non-coding RNA of Mastomys coucha (southern multimammate mouse), 787 nucleotides long. RefSeq lists it as uncharacterized. Lineage: Eukaryota; Metazoa; Chordata; Mammalia; Rodentia; Muridae. The transcript has 3 exons. The record is from RefSeq and is a predicted model, not a curated record.